RNAcentral lists this ribosomal RNA (421 nucleotides) under uncultured bacterium. RNAcentral describes it as "bacterial SSU rRNA". It matches the Rfam family "Bacterial small subunit ribosomal RNA", at positions 355 to 775 of the family's 1533-position model. The record is from RNAcentral.
UCGAGAAUCUUCGGCAAUGGGCGAAAGCCUGACCGAGCGACGCCGCGUGCGGGAUGAAGGCCCUCGGGUUGUAAACCGCUGUCAGUGGGGAGGAAGGCUCUGUGAAGAGCAGGGUUUGACCUAUCCGCAGAGGAAGUCCGGGCUAAGUUCGUGCCAGCAGCCGCGGUAACACGAACCGGACAAACGUUAUUCGGAAUCACUGGGCUUAAAGGGUGCGUAGGCGGCCUGACAAGUUGGGUGUGAAAUCCCUCGGCUUAACCGAGGAAUUGCGCUCAAAACUGUUGGGCUUGAGGGAGUUAGAGGUGAGCGGAACUUAGGGUGGAGCGGUGAAAUGCGUUGAUAUCCUAAGGAACACCAGUGGCGAAAGCGGCUCACUGGAGCUCUUCUGACGCUGAGGCACGAAAGCUAGGGGAGCGAACGG